AAUGAAGCAAUAAAGAUCUACAACGACAGCAAAUCAGCUAUAGCAAUGAUCAAGAAUCCUGUAUUUCACAGCAGAACAAAACAUAUUGGCAUCAAGUAUCAGUUCAUCAGAGAAACUGAAGCAAACAAAGAGAUAGAACUUAAACAUUGCAAAACUGAAGAACAAUUGGCGGACAUAUUCACGAAGGCGCUAUCACGAGCAAAGUUCGAGCUACUACGGGAAAUGAUUGGAGUUACCGAAAUGAGCAUCAAGGAGGAGUGAUAAAUUUAAUGAUGCUCAUUUCUAGAAGAAUUUAGAAUUACUUGCCUAGAAUAUCCUAGAAUUCCUUGGUAAGCAAGUAUAAUAAAAAAUUAAGAAUUGUCUAGAUUCCACUAGAGUAACUUGGACACCAAAAAACCUUGUAUAGGUUGUAGACACUUGUAGAAUUUUCUAGAAGAUAUGAUAAGAGUCUAUAAAUAGGGCAUGAUCCCUCAUUUGUUAGUAAGUAAAAAAGAAAAAAGAAGCUAGACAAAGCUCAAGCUAUUGUAAGCUAUCAUCAUUCUAAUAAAAUUCAUUUCUCCUACCCACUUUGUCCACCAAAUUACUUUCUACCAAAAUCUUCCAAACUAUUAACUUUCAAUAAAAAGCCAACUAUUUUUUACCUCCAAAAUUAUUCCAUACAAAACAUCCUCAAUCAUCCUAUCUCAUCACUACAACAACACAAAAACUAUCAAAGUACAUUCUAUAAUGGCACAAUCAAAGUCAUUGAGUCAGGUGGCUUACUCAGCGUCGAGUCUGUUUUCUUGUUUUGCCUAGGAGUUGCCCUUCUUGGUCUUCUUGGAUUUUGGAUAUGUAGUCAGAUACAGCAUUACUCAAAGGUGAUCACAUAAUUAUAAGCUUCACAAAGCUAACACGAUAUGCUGUACUGAGAUAGUGAAUGACACCUUCCGGUUUUCUCUUUCUUGAUAAUUAGAAAACUAAGAGUGCACCUAAGGUUGAAGUUGGAACUGGGACGACUGAUGCUUCAUUGGAUGAGUGGUUGCAGGUUUAUAUUUUCUGCAUGAUUGAAACUCCAUUCACUUGACGCAAGGAAUAAGGAAAAUCGCACUAUUGGUGCCCAAAAUAUUUCUGAAUUUCAAGAUCAUUAACCUUUUAUUAUAGUUGAACAACCAAUCCCAGUGUUGGUAACUAUCUAAUUGUCCAUAAAUUGCCAGGUGACAAUUUGACAGAUGCUCGUUGGGACUAAUUGUGUAACUAUAAUGAAAAGUUGAAGACCAAUUUUCUCCCUUUAAAGGUUGGGGAUCAACAUGCUACUGGGGCAGUGAGUUACAGACCAAUGAUACAAUCUUCGCUAAAUUAUGGGUCUGGAACACUUUUAAGUUCUUGAAAAUGUUUCUUCAUAUCCUGCAAAUGUUAAUUUACACGAAAGCUAAAAGUUUCACAACUAUGUCUCUAAAUGUUCUGGGAACUGCCUAUACUCAGUCUGUGUCUAGUAACUUAAAGAAGAAGAAGUAGAUGAUCAUCCCUUUGCAGAAGUUAAGGACGAGUAUCAUGCAGCUAUGAUUCUCGCAACACGGCUUAGGGAUUCGAAAGUGAAAUCGUGUUUUGAGAAACUAGUCUGUGAAGGAUCUGUCUCGAUUCUGUAUCAAGAGGGAGAAACUUUUACAUUUUCAUUUUCUUAGUCUCAAUUCAGAACUUGAGCCAUUUUUAAUGCCAAAUGAUUAUUCAUCAAUGAAAAGCUACAGCUUUGUUAAAACGUGAAAUUUCAUCUAUAUUAUGGUUAUCUUUGAACUUUUGUUCGAUUGAAGUCGUUUGAGUGUUUGCA
This 1804-nucleotide long non-coding RNA is filed under the name Olea europaea subsp. europaea. Lineage: Eukaryota; Viridiplantae; Streptophyta; Magnoliopsida; Lamiales; Oleaceae. The record is from RNAcentral.